GUGGGGAAUUUUGGACAAUGGGGGCAACCCUGAUCCAGCCAUGCCGCGUGUCUGAAGAAGGCCUUCGGGUUGUAAAGGACUUUUGUUAGGGAAGAAAAGGGAAGUGCUAAUACCACUUUUUGCUGACGGUACCUAAAGAAUAAGCACCGGCUAACUACGUGCCAGCAGCCGCGGUAAUACGUAGGGUGCGAGCGUUAAUCGGAAUUACUGGGCGUAAAGCGAGCGCAGACGGUUACUUAAGCAGGAUGUGAAAUCCCCGGGCUCAACCUGGGAACUGCGUUCUGAACUGGGUAGCUAGAGUAUGUCAGAGGGGGGUAGAAUUCCACGUGUAGCAGUGAAAUGCGUAGAGAUGUGGAGGAAUACCGAUGGCGAAGGCAGCCCCCUGGGAUAAUACUGACGUUCAUGCUCGAAAGCGUGGGUAGCAAACAGGAUUAGAUACCCGUGUAGUCC
This 450-nucleotide ribosomal RNA is filed under the name uncultured bacterium. RNAcentral's name for it is "bacterial SSU rRNA". It matches the Rfam family "Bacterial small subunit ribosomal RNA", at positions 354 to 796 of the family's 1533-position model. The record is from RNAcentral.